Siniperca chuatsi (mandarin fish) is the source of this 433-nucleotide non-coding RNA. The record is from the annotation of a RefSeq genome assembly. Lineage: Eukaryota; Metazoa; Chordata; Actinopteri; Centrarchiformes; Sinipercidae.
ACAUGACUUUGCCCUCCGUCCUCAUCUGGACUCUCCUCUGCUGCUGCUUCACAGAGUCCAGAGGCCAGGUCACAGUGACUCAGCCUGGAGCAGUGCACUCUGCUCUGGGAGGCUCCGUCUCCAUCAGCUGUAGGGUCAACCCAGAAGUUUAUGUAUCAUCAUACAGCGGCAUAUACUGGUACCAACAUUUGCACUGGUACCAACAGAGAGAUGGAGAAGCUCCUAAACUUCUUAUUGCCACGGCUAAUGAGCUGCAGUCUGGAGUUCCAGGUCGUUUUACAGGCAGUGGAUCAAACACUGACUUCACUCUGACCAUCAGUGGAGUCCAGGCUGAAGAUGCAGCAGUUUACUACUGUCAGAGUUAUCACGAAAUCAACAGUCAGGAUGUGUUCACACAGUGAAAAAGCGUCGUACAAAAACCUCCCUCAGUCAG